RNAcentral lists this ribosomal RNA (496 nucleotides) under uncultured bacterium. RNAcentral describes it as "partial 16S ribosomal RNA". It matches the Rfam family "Bacterial small subunit ribosomal RNA", at positions 29 to 507 of the family's 1533-position model. The record is from RNAcentral.
AUGAACGCUGGCGGCGUGCCUAAUACAUGCAAGUCGAGCGAACAGACGAGGAGCUUGCUCCUCUGACGUUAGCGGCGGACGGGUGAGUAACACGUGGAUAACCUACCUAUAAGACUGGGAUAACUUCGGGAAACCGGAGCUAAUACCGGAUAAUAUAUUGAACCGCAUGUUUCAAUAGUGAAAGACGGUUUUGCUGUCACUUAUAGAUGGAUCCGCGCCGCAUUAGCUAGUUGGUAAGGUAACGGCUUACAAAGGCAACGAUGCGUAGCCGACCUGAGAGGGGGAUCGGCCACACUGGAACUGCGACACGGUCCAGACUCCUACGGGAGGCAGCAGUAGGGAAUCUUCCGGAAGGGGGGAAAGCUUAACGGAGCAACGCCGCGUGAGUGAUGAAGGUCUUCGGAUCGUAAAACUCUGUUAUUAGGGAAGAACAAAUGUGUAAGUAACUAUGCCCGUCUUGACGGUACCUAAUCAGAAAGCCACGGCUAAUUCCGUG